CUGAACGAUCCGUGUUGACCAAUGUGAGGGCCUGUGCCAUGACCUGUUCUAGACCUUGUACGGUGGUUACCUCCGACGGAGUUGCGGUUGGAGCAGCCGGCGACGGCGCGGGACAAGACGGGGACGGCGCCGGGCGAUUCCGGCGGCGGCAUUGCGACCGGCAGGCAGACGCAGACGGUGUUAGUGGUGCCGCCGUCGACGCCCAGGAUGACGCCGCCGUC
Molecule: small RNA, 221 nt
Filed under: Oryza sativa Japonica Group (Japanese rice)
Lineage: Eukaryota; Viridiplantae; Streptophyta; Magnoliopsida; Poales; Poaceae
Description: sRNA Os09g0133650
Source: RNAcentral